This is a non-coding RNA of Peromyscus maniculatus bairdii (prairie deer mouse), 1204 nucleotides long. NCBI's taxonomy places the organism in Eukaryota, Metazoa, Chordata, Mammalia, Rodentia, Cricetidae. The record is from RefSeq and is a predicted model, not a curated record.
GCACCGUGUGGUCUUCCGCGGAGACUUCUGUUUACAGUACAGCCAGCAUUUGAAAUUGACCUUCAGAAGGAAAGGUCCGGCUAUAGCUUUGGCAACUUGGUAAACCAUGGACCAUCUUCUGGCAGGGUUCUCCACAUUAGUCAGCAGGACAGAGAGAGCAGGAAGGAACAUUAGCUGCUGGUCUGUUGACGGUUACUUCUCAAGCCUCGCUUUGGUGGACUGAAGCUUGGCUUGGUGACUGUCUUCUAAUGAACAGAACGUGGACGGAGUGAAGAUAUGCCACCUCUAAGGCAAGACUAUAAAAAACUUUAUGGACCAGUGGAUUUGGCCCUGGAUGUGCUUUAUCAUUCUCUUCUAAUGGCUCACACCAGGAGGAGCCAGCUGUCAUGGUGUGAGGCAGCCUGUUGUAAGCUCAAGAAAGUGAGUCUUCUGAGGUUGGGAUAGGGGAACUCCUUCCCAUUUGAACCUUGAGGAAACAGCACCAGCUGGCGGCUUGAGAGUCCUCAUCAGCUAAGCUACUUCUAGACGUCCAAUGCACAGUAACUACAAGAUAAGAAAUCGCUGCUGAUUUCAUUGCUACGUCACUGUUAUAUACCAAUGGAUACUGAGUAGACAUGAGAAGCUUGUGGGAGUAGGUACUAUUGGGGGUUCAGUGGAAAACUCUCUGGACUUUGGGCAAGGUGAACUUCUCAUGGUUUCCCAUCCAGGAUCCCUUGUAAGCCUUCCCUAACACUCAAUACUGUUGCAUUCUCCUCUUUAAAAUUUAGUUUACUAGGCAGCCUAUGAGCUUCAUGAGACCUGCUUCCUCCUUUCACUUUUUGUCCCUAAUGACAUGUCAGUGCAUGUGGUGUGCAUAUGUGUGUGUUUGCAUUCCUGUUCACAUGGGUAUGGGCCUAUAUGUGUGUGCAGAUGCCUGAGUCUGAUGUCAGGAAUCAACACUGGUCUCUAGUCCCAUUAUUCAUUAAGGCUGAAGCUCUGGAUCAAACUCAGAGCUCACUCACAGAUUGGGGUUGCCAGUCUGGGGCUCCCCAUCUCUGCUUUCUGAGGCUGGGUUACAGGCAGAUUGCCACCCAUAUAUUCAACAUUUAAAUUUAUUCUGAGGGCCCACACUCUGCCUGGAAAGUAUUUUAAGCAUUUAACCAUCUCCCCAUCUCCUGAUUAUAAGACAUUUGUACCGAAUAAAUAAAGACCUAGGUAAAAUUGG